RNAcentral lists this unclassified non-coding RNA (377 nucleotides) under soil metagenome. Its description in RNAcentral is "partial contains 5.8S ribosomal RNA, internal transcribed spacer 2, and large subunit ribosomal RNA". The stretch from base 1 to 120 matches the Rfam family "5.8S ribosomal RNA", at positions 35 to 154 of the family's 154-position model. The record is from RNAcentral.
GAUGAAGAACGCAGCGAAAUGCGAUAAGUAAUGUGAAUUGCAGAAUUCAGUGAAUCAUCGAAUCUUUGAACGCACCUUGCACCCUUUGGCAUUCCGAAGGGUAUGCUCGUUUGAGUGUCAUUGUACUCUCACACUUCCGAUCUUUGGAUUGGGAGCGGUGGACUUGGGUGUUGCUGCUUACUGUGGCUCACCUCAAAUCGAUUCGUGCACCUCUUGGUUGGACAUAGUACGGCGUGAUAAGUGUCUUCGCAGGCACCUCAGUAGAGGGUGGCUGAUCGGGAGCUCUGCUUCAAACCGUCCUCGGACAACAACUGACAACUUGACCUCAAAUCGAGUAGGACUACCCGCUGAACUUAAGCAUAUCAAUAAGCGGAGGA